Molecule: ribosomal RNA, 450 nt
Filed under: uncultured Glomeromycotina
Lineage: Eukaryota; Fungi; Glomeromycota
Description: SSU rRNA
Rfam family: Eukaryotic small subunit ribosomal RNA
Source: RNAcentral
AGCAGCCGCGGUAAUUCCAGCUCCAAUAGCGUAUAUUAAAGUUGUUGCAGUUAAAAAGCUCGUAGUUGAAUUUCGGGAUCAAUAUGUCGGUCGUGCCUUGGUACGUACUGGUAUCAUUGGUUUCUCCUUUCUGACGAACCAUGAUGUCAUUAAUUUGGUGUUAUGGGAAGUUAGGACUGUUACUUUGAAAAAUUAGAGUGUUUAAAGCAGGCUUUAGCUUGAAUACAUUAGCAUGGAAUAAUGAAAUAGGACGUUCGAACCUAUUUUGUUGGUUUCUAGGAUCAACGUAAUGAUUAAUAGGGAUAGUUGGGGGCAUUAGUAUUCAAUUGUCAGAGGUGAAAUUCUUGGAUUUAUUGAAGACUAACUACUGCGAAAGCAUUUGCCAAGGAUGUUUUCAUUAAUCAAGAACGAAAGUUAGGGGAUCGAAGACGAUCAGAUACCGUCGUAGUC